AAGGAUCAUUAACAAAAUCAAAUGGCAGUAGGAAGUAACGGCAGUCAAAUGUCAUUACCAAUACUGUUUAUUUCAACUUGUGAACCGUCUAUUGAACUGGCACUGAAAGAGUUCACGCUCAGCACGUGCCAGAGUUUAACAACCAACCUUUGUAAUUGCAAUCCAAUCAUCACAAACUUUAUAUAAUCACACACUAUAUAACUUUUAACAAUGGAUCUCUAGGCUCUU
Molecule: unclassified non-coding RNA, 228 nt
Filed under: uncultured fungus
Lineage: Eukaryota; Fungi
Description: partial contains 18S rRNA, ITS1, 5.8S rRNA, ITS2 and 28S rRNA
Source: RNAcentral